This 563-nucleotide ribosomal RNA is filed under the name uncultured bacterium. Its description in RNAcentral is "bacterial SSU rRNA". It matches the Rfam family "Bacterial small subunit ribosomal RNA", at positions 338 to 918 of the family's 1533-position model. The record is from RNAcentral.
CCUACGGGAGGCAGCAGUGGGGAAUCUUGGACAAUGGGCGCAAGCCUGAUCUAGCCAUGCCGCGUGUGUGAUGAAGGCCUUAGGGUCGUAAAGCACUUUCGCCUGUGAAGAUAAUGACUGUAGCAGGUAAAGAAACCCCGGCUAACUCCGUGCCAGCAGCCGCGGUAAUACGGAGGGGGUUAGCGUUGUUCGGAAUUACUGGGCGUAAAGCGUACGUAGGCGGACCAUUAAGUUGGGGGUGAAAUCCCAGGGCUCAACCCUGGAACUGCCUCCAAAACUGCUGGUCUUGAGUUCGAGAGAGGUGAGUGGAAUUCCGAGUGUAGAGGUGAAAUUCGUAGAUAUUCGGAGGAACACCAGUGGCGAAGGCGGCUCACUGGCUCGAUACUGACGCUGAGGUACGAAAAGUGUGGGGAGCAAACAGGAUUAGAUACCCUGGUAGUCCACACCGUAAACGAUGAAUGCCAGUCGUCGGGUAGCAUGCUAUUCGGUGACACACCUAACGGAUUAAGCAUUCCGCCUGGGGAGUACGGUCGCAAGAUUAAAACUCAAAGGAAUUGACGGGG